Molecule: long non-coding RNA, 5413 nt
Organism: Salvia miltiorrhiza (redroot sage)
Lineage: Eukaryota; Viridiplantae; Streptophyta; Magnoliopsida; Lamiales; Lamiaceae
Exons: 2
Source: RefSeq, a predicted model, not a curated record
CACUGUUCAUCAGUUAAAUUUUUGGAUUCAAUGUUCCAGAAUUCUGGGCAUAUUCGCAGAUGUCUUCCCCGAUCUAGUUUUGCACCUCCCUCUUCAAAGAUUCUCUACCGCAGCUACUCCCAAUUAUCUGUUCUGAAUCCGCCCCACUUUUUCUCUAAAAAUACUCCGAUUGAGAAAUGGGAAAUCCUCUAGAUCCGAUCCAAAAUGUGGCAAAAGAAUAUACAUCCGGCAAUGCUGGCCCCUUUUAUCUCGGUCUGAAAAUCUCAAAAUCCUAAUCGAAAAUACCCUUAGGGGAAUGCAAGAAUUUCUGCCCAAAUCAAGAAUUUCUCUCUACACGCCUCCGUCCAAACCGGUAGCCACCGUCUGCGGUUCCCGGUGAAGCUAGCGCCUCGCUGCUUAUCCCUCGCCCUCCUUAAUCUCUCUCUGGAAUCAUAUGCUCAAGGCAGAGUGGUAAGCCCUAAUUCCUUACCCACCUUGGACCGCUGCUGUUGCCGUUGGAGUCCGGCGAACAGCCGCCACCUGCGCUGUCCGGUGAACGACAACUACCUGCGCUGCUGUGUACUCAGAUUCUAGCGAUGCAGCUCUCCAUCGUCAUCUCCUCGGGCUCGACUGAACAGGACAGUCGGUUCCCUCCCUCAAGCUAAGUCCUAUUUUGCCUCAUUUGCUUUCCAUACUGGUAGAGUAUCAAUGGGUAUGCAUAUUGACUUCUUUGAGUGAGAAAAUGUCAGAACUUAACACUCUAUCUGUGUGAGCAUGUUAUGGUUAAUUCUAUAUUCCUAGGGGAGCUUUGUUGCCUGUAUUGCGGUUAUGCAGAUUAUGGCUUUGCUAUUGUUGAGAAAUCCUUACUGCACCUUUCAUUAUGCAAAACAUACAUCUUUCUACUUUAUGCAUAUUGAAACUGAAGCAUGUGUGGUUAAUGCUUGAGUGAAUUGAAAUGGAUUUGGGGCCUGUUUUUUCUUAUAACUUUGCUUUGAUUGUGGGAUUGAUUCCGUUACAUUUUUAUUAUGAUUUCACUUUGAUUUCGGGACUGAUCUUUCUUGGAUUUCACUUUGUGAUUUCAUUAGUACUUCGAGUUCGGGAAACCAGGGCUAUGGAAGGCUCCAUUUACUUUUGCAGGGGACGUGGGGCGGUGCAAUGGUUUUCAAUUCUGCUUGCUAGGGACUUUUCAACACAACGAAUGUGUCUAGCUCUGCAUUGACCUCUUGACAGGACAGGAGACCCCCAACGCUGCCAGGGAUUUCUCGGGAUUUCCACUUUGCAUUUAUACAAAUCUUGAGUUGAGGGGGGCGGGAACGUGACAGCUUUGCUACUCUUUAUAUUGGGAUGAUAUAUUGUGAUGGGAUACUUUACCAAUUGAUUUUUCACCUUGUGUUGAGUUUGUGUAUUGUUUAUGAUGCUACAUUUAUGUGUUAGCUUAUGUAGUUGAAAUUGAGGGAUUGGUUUCUUCGGGUUAGAGGCAUGAUUCACCGAAAAUCUGAAGAACAGUCACAUCGUGACCCAGCUUUAUGGAGCAGGCCUCCAUUCAUUAAAGGGAUUAUCUCGAUUAAUUUCAGAGCAAGCUUGAUUCCUUAAUAUUGCUUGUUUAUUUUGUUUACAAUUUCUUAUGAUUUUACUCAACUUUCUGAUGUAAGGGCAAGUGAAACAUCAAGCUAUCCACCGAGGGGGCAAGAUAAUUGAGGGCUUAACGUCAUUGCUGUUUAUUAUCUCAGAGGGCGACGGUAGCAGAUAUAAGCUCGAAAAUCUUUCGGAGAUUGAGGGAUGAAAGUAACAGUUCGUGGCGAAAGUGGACUGGGCAAAGUUCGCCACGCCGCUGCAAGCUAGACUGAACAGGGCAAUUAGCCCUCCUUCACCAAAAGCUAAGACCAAGUGCUUAAUGCUUAUGUGUAAAUGUGGAUAUCUUGCGCUCUAUUUACGAUUCUUGUCGCUAUGGGAUGGGGGUUCUUAUGGCUGUUGGUCCUAAGUCAUCAUGAUUGUCCUGCUUUCUAUCUUUGUCUACUUGAAGUUCUUGGAUAUAACCCGCAGUGGUAAAUGUAUUUUCAUGUUUUUUAGUUGAUGCUAAUCUCUGGAAUUGAUCCUUAGAUACAGAUAAAACAUAAUGGGAUUCAUGGUGAAUGCGUGAGUGUACCAGCUACAUCAUUGCCUGCGCUGAAUUUCCAGCGUUGAUAAACACUAAUACAAGACGAAGCUAAGUUAUCUCCUUUGAUUAUGUUAAUUCUUGAUGAAUUAGUUACUUUCUUCGGCUGUGCUUGUUGAUUGUUGGUUAAGUUGUUGGGGACAGGGUGUAUACUCGGGGUUUGUGAAGUUUAAUUGGGGCUGACAUGCAUUCUUUUCACUGUUUUGGUCGAGUCUUCCUACCGAGAUCCACAAGAGGGCAGUGCUGCGCCGAGGAACGCCAUGGCUCAGCCCAAUCUGAUGGGAGGACCGAUCAUCAUCUUGUCACGGAUGCAGCGCAGGGAAAGAAAGAGCAGUUCAUCGACUGCACUGAUACAGCGCAGCGGCGCCGCUACAGCGCAGUACGCUGAUACAGCGCAGGUAGGGAGAGGUGUAGUUCAUCAGCUCGCUGAAGCAGCGCAGAGAGGGAGAAGGGUAGUUCAUCAGUUCGCUGAGUAUUAAGCUCUCAGUGUUCAGUGCUACAUUCAAUAUUUUAUCAAAUGCAUAUUUCCUGUGGGUGGUGAAAUUCAUAUCAGUCUACUACUCUUUAUUUUUGCUGCGGGAAUUUAUAGUUGUGAUUUCAUGUCCAAAUUUAUCGGGAUUAUUCAUUAAAUAUGACAUUUGAAUUUCAAUAACUGAAUCUGGGAUUGUGCCAAUAUCUUUGGGUACUUAGUAUGUUGAUGAAAUCGUGAAUUUUUAACUUGGUAUUCAAUUGAAUUUGCAGCGCAUUUUCUUGUGAAAAUGGAUCAUGGUUGGGGUAAAUGAAAUGUAAUUGUUGUUAUUGCUGAUAUCUUGUUGUGGUGGAAUUCAACUCUUAAAUCUGGACAGGACCAAACGAAUGAUGAUUUAAAAUUUAUUUCUUAUUCAUAUGAGAAUAUGUUAUAAAGUUGAAAACUAAUUGUGAUUGUUCGUUGAUGAAUGCGAGGAUCAUGCGAAGAAAGAUAUAACAGCAAAGGAAAAGGAGGAAUUAGUGGAAUAGCAAGAUGAAAUAAAAUUACUAAGCUGCGCAGGAAUGAAAGCAAGAAGAGUUACUAAAGUUGCGCUGCAUAAUUUUCUAAGCGGUGCUGUGGGAUAUCUAAGCUGGUCUUCAAUACAGGAACUCUACAUCCCAACACAGAAUGUCUAAGCCGUAAUGUAACAAAGGUAACCCACUAACUAGUGGUGAUCCAGGUACUUCGCAGAACUGAAAUUUCUCACUACAUGAUCUUAAGGUGUCUUAUCGAAGCAUGUAAGUAUGAAUGAAACAUGAUGUUAAGUUACUCCACCAAAGCAUGUAAGUAUGAAACAUGAUCUUAAGUUAUUUCAUCGAAGCAUGAAAACAUGAUUAGGAUUUGGAAAAUGUUAUAUUUUACCACUUGGGAAAAAUCACGAUUUAUAUUAUCUCUUGAAGGGAUUUGUGAAUUUGAUAUUAUGUCUUGGAAGCUGCACACCUUCUGCAUAUGUGCCUAGGUCUGAAAUAUGAAUUGACUAAAUAUACGAAGCUGCACAACUUCUGCAUAUGUGCUAGAGCCUGGAACAUAAUUUAGAUAACAUACUUUGGGACCAUAGAGUCAUACUAGCCCUGUCACUAGCAUCACAAGUAGGAACACCAAUCACAAACAUACACAUAACAUGUUUAUUUAAAUCACGCACAUGUUACCAAGAGGGAGGGAGUAGGGUAUAUAUGUUGCCAUCUGUAUUUUUCUUGAAAAUUUGCAGCUUGAUCAAUAAUGGUUGACAACACUGGAAAACCUGCUUCGGUAGAAAAUGAGCUUUAGUGGCAAUUCAGCCACGCUACGGAGGGGAAAGCGUUAAGUGGAAUUUGGGUCUUCUCAGCGCAGUCAGGACAGUUAUCUCAGCUACCUCUGCGCAGCUAUCUCAGCACAGUCAGCGCAGCUAUCUCAGCACAGUCAGCGCAGCUAUCUCAGCGCAGCUAUCUCAGCACGGUCAGGACAUUUAUCUCAGCUACCUCAGCGCAGUUAUCUCAGCGCAGUCAGGACAUCUAUCUCAGCUAUCUCAGCGCAGCUAUCUCUGUUAUCUCAGUAGCUUUCAGCGCAGAAUGUCCGAGCCGUUGUCAGUUCAGAAUGUCUAUGCUCCGCGCAGGAAUAUCGUAAGCCGCGAAAGUUAGACAGGGUUCUUUGAUUGUCUAUGCUCCGCGCAGGAAUAUCGUAAGCCGCGAAAGUUAGACAGGGGUGUACCAUCUUGAGGGCCGCUUCGGCGGGGGUGUACCAUCUUGAGGGCCGCUUCGGCGGGGGUGUACCAUCUUAAGGGCCGCUUCGGCGGGGGUGUACCAUAUUUGUACCAUCUUGAGGGCCGCUUCGGCGGGGGUGUACCAUCUUGAGGGCCGCUUCGGCGGGGGUGUACCAUCUUAAGGGCCGCUUCGGCGGGGGUGUACCAUAUUUGUACCAUCUUAAGGGCCGCUUCGGCGGGGGUGUAUCAUCUUUGUCAGUGCAGGUAGUGCAGCGCAGUCAGCGCGGGGUUGUCAGCGCAGUCGGUGCAGCGCAGUCAGCGCGAGGUUGUCAACGCAGAUCACUUGAGUCUUCCCAGCACAGGGAAUCGUAUAUGCUUAAUUGACACGGGAGAGCAGCACAGCGCUGACUUCACACCACACACCCCUAGUUGAACAAAGAGAACGCUGUUCAACUAGACCAGGGGGGAGUAGCUGAUGAGGACUGGAAUACUCAUCAGCGAUGUGCUUAAUAAUUCAAGCCUAUUUUACCUUGUUAUGAUUAUUGUUAUUAUUAUUAUAUAAACGAACCAGCGCAGGUUUAACUAAAGACUCGGGAUAAUAAAUGAAUACGAAGAGCCUGCGCAGUCGAGAGGUGCCAACGCAAGUCGAAGAUGCCUAAAGAGCCCGCUUCACCAGAGACGACAUGCCAGAGCAGAGCAGCGCGGCAGAGCUGCACAGCCAGAGCAGAGCAACGCGGACCAGAGCAGCGUAAAGCUGCGCAGCUAGAGCAGAACAACGCAGACCAGAGCCGCGCAGCACAACAGCGUAGAGCAGCGCAGCCAAAGUGCCUGUCCACGCAGCCACGAAUGAUGGUUCAGCUUGGAGAUUAAGAUCAUUGUACUAAGUUUUGGGCCUAAAUCCAAUUGUUAAAGUUCAUGGGCCUGAGGCCUUUAGGGUUCAUUCUCACAACUAUAAAUAGAAGCUUUAGCAUUAGCAUGAGGGGAUCAACUUAUUCUAGCACACUUCACUUGUAAUAUGUAAAAUAGUCUUGAGAUAGUGAAGCCAACGAAGAACCUCCCGUGGACGUAGGUCUUGAUGGCCGAACCACGUAAA